UACAGAGGUGGCAAGCGUUGUUCGGAAUUACUGGGCGUAAAGGGCGCGUAGGCGGCUUGGUCAGUCCCGUGUGAAAUCCCUCGGCUCAACUGAGGAACUGCACGGGAAACUGCCUGGCUUGAGUUCGGGAGAGGGAAGCGGAAUUCCGGGUGUAGCGGUGAAAUGCGUAGAUAUCCGGAGGAACACCGGUGGCGAAGGCGGCUUCCUGGACCGACACCGACGCUGAGGCGCGAAAGCUAGGGGAGCAAACGGG
RNAcentral lists this ribosomal RNA (253 nucleotides) under uncultured bacterium. RNAcentral describes it as "partial 16S ribosomal RNA". It matches the Rfam family "Bacterial small subunit ribosomal RNA", at positions 524 to 776 of the family's 1533-position model. The record is from RNAcentral.